AGUAUAAGUGGCGGACGGGCUGUUUUCGCGGUGGGAAUCUACCCAGUAGUGGGGGACAACUACNGGAAACGGUAGCUAAUACCGCAUACGCCCUAUGGGGGAAAGGCUUCGGCCGCUAUUGGAUGAGCCCGCGUCAGAUUAGCUAGUUGGUAGGGUAAAGGCCUACCAAGGCAACGAUCUGUAGCUGGUCUGAGAGGACGAACAGCCACACUGGGACUGAGACACGGCCCAGACUCCUACGGGAGGCAGCAGUGGGGAAUAUUGGACAAUGGGCGAAAGCCUGAUCCAGCAAUGCCGCGUGUGUGAAGAAGGCCUGCGGGUUAUAAAGCACUUUCAGUUGGGAAGAUGAUGACGUUACCAACAGAAGAAGCACCGGCUAAAUCCGUGCCAGCAGCCGCGGUAAUACGGAUGGUGCGAGCGUUAAUCGGAAUUACUGGGCGUAAAGCGCGCGUAGGCGGCUAAGUCAGUCAGAAGUGAAAGCCCCGGGCUCAACCUGGGAAUUGCUUUUGAUACUGCUUAGCUAGAGUUUGGUAGAGGAUAGUGGAAUUCCAGGUGUAGCGGUGAAAUGCGUAGAUAUCUGGAGGAACAUCAGUGGCGAAGGCGACUGUCUGGACCAAAACUGACGCUGAGGUGCGAAAGCGUGGGUAGCAAACAGGAUUAGAUACCCUGGUAG
Molecule: ribosomal RNA, 673 nt
Filed under: uncultured Gammaproteobacteria bacterium
Lineage: Bacteria; Pseudomonadati; Pseudomonadota; Gammaproteobacteria
Description: bacterial SSU rRNA
Rfam family: Bacterial small subunit ribosomal RNA
Source: RNAcentral